AAUUGAAUUGACGUUUUGCAUAAAAUGUCUUGCAAACAGCGAUAUUGCAAGGGCAAUAUCUCGGGCUGUAUGAGUCCAAAUUAAGUUCCGUUUAUUGGUACGGAAACUUAAGGAUGUUAACUAUAAUUGUCUAAGUUUGAGUUUUUGUUGAAUCGGACUCUAGGAUGUUCAUUUUGGACAGAACAAAUUAUUGUGCAGUCUGCCCUGCACUUGUAAACAGCUCCCAGGAAAUAACUUAUGAGCUAGUUUUCGACACUUUCGGGUGCGUUUCAUGGUCCGAGACCUAAACGAAAGUUGAAGGCGACAUUCUAAACUUUAAGAAUGUCAAUUUUGUUUUGGGGUCGGACUAUUUUUAGAUAAGAGUUUUGUUAGCCGAAGUAGACUAGAAAAUUAGCUUUUUGAUAAAUUAAUUAUACUUAGAAAUUUUAUUAAUUCGUAGCGUUAUCGAAAUUGCGUAGACUCGAAGAAGCGACUAUCGAUAAGGCUCGAGGCGAAUGGAUCGAGAUAUCGUCGUGCUUAUUUAAAGAAUUUGGAUAGCAAGUGGGAUAGUAUGAUAUGAUUUGGAAAGUCAAGUUUCCGAAGUUUUAAUUCUCGGAAGUUAUUUGCACAAGAAGUGAAAGAAGGUUUUCAUUCUAGCGGUCCGCAGUAGUCUAGAUGUUUUUGUCUAGGUAUUUGUAUUGCGCAUUUUAACUCUGAUGCUUUUGUAAAAUGGGGUCACAUGUAUUUUAAUAUAUGAAAUAUGUUUUGAUU
Molecule: long non-coding RNA, 750 nt
Organism: Mercurialis annua (annual mercury)
Lineage: Eukaryota; Viridiplantae; Streptophyta; Magnoliopsida; Malpighiales; Euphorbiaceae
Exons: 2
Source: RefSeq, a predicted model, not a curated record